This 560-nucleotide ribosomal RNA is filed under the name Corythalia sp. Puerto Lopez. RNAcentral's name for it is "partial 16S ribosomal RNA". The stretch from base 173 to 468 matches the Rfam family "Bacterial large subunit ribosomal RNA", at positions 2074 to 2646 of the family's 2925-position model. Lineage: Eukaryota; Metazoa; Arthropoda; Arachnida; Araneae; Salticidae. The record is from RNAcentral.
UUAAUAGUAAAAUCUGCUCAAUGAAUUAAUUAAAUAGCCGCUAUUAGUGCUAAGGUAGCAUAAUAAUUUGUCUUUUAAAUAAGGACCAGAACAAAAGAUUUAACAUUUUAUUUAAUUUAUUAAAAUUUAAAAAAUCAAAACUAAUUUAAUUGUAAAAAAGCAAUUAUUAAAAAGAAAGACGACAAGACCCUAUUGAACUUAACUUUAGUUUAACUGGGGCAGUUAAUCAAUUAAUACUUUAAUUAUAUUAAACAUUACAAUAUCUAAUACAAUUAAAUUAUCAAGUUACCAUAGGGAUAACAGCGCAAUAAUAUUUUAAAGUUCUUAUAUAAAAAAUAGAUUACGACCUCGAUGUUGAAUUAAUUACCUAAUUGAAGCAAAUUUCAAAUAAAGGAAGUCUGUUCGACUUAUAAUAAAUUACAUGAUUUGAGUUCAGACCGGUGUAAACCAGGUCGGUUUCCAUCUUCUUUAAAAUAUUUUUGUAGUACGAAAGGACCUAAAAGUAUAAUAAUAUUUUCAUAUUAGCAAAUAAAUGCAUUAGAAUUAGAAUCUAAUAAACU